This 217-nucleotide long non-coding RNA is filed under the name Homo sapiens (human). RNAcentral's name for it is "LHRI_LNC146.1". Lineage: Eukaryota; Metazoa; Chordata; Mammalia; Primates; Hominidae. The record is from RNAcentral.
CGAAAACAGUACUUAAGCAACCUGAAUUAUUUACUUAUAUUUUGUUCUGUUUUUAAACAAUUUUUGCUUUCCCUUUAUCACCAGAGGAUUUUCCCAACAUUUUGGCCUCUUGUCUUUUUAAGGUGGACUUCCUGAUCUCCAAAUGUCAAGGGACACACUCAGUCUCUCUUAUUUGUGGGUGGUGAAAAACAUUAGCAAAGAUUAGACUGAAAUUUGG